This 1200-nucleotide unclassified non-coding RNA is filed under the name Chelonus insularis. Its description in RNAcentral is "rNA-binding protein 1-like, transcript variant X7". The record is from RNAcentral. Lineage: Eukaryota; Metazoa; Arthropoda; Insecta; Hymenoptera; Braconidae.
CAUUAGUUUAUCAGAAGCGUCCAUCUUAUAUUUUUGCCGACUCGAAUUUGCACAUAUUUUUUUAAAUAAUAAAAAAUUAAGUGUAACUAUUACAGUUUUUCUUAAAUUAAGUUUUAGAUAAUAAAACAAAAAAUUUUCUUCAAAUAUUAACAAUGUCACGGUAUCGUGAAUGGGAUCCUACUUGCAAAGUUUACGUAGGUGAUUUAGGAAGCAGUGCUAGCAAACAUGAAAUAGAAAAUGCAUUCAGUAAAUAUGGACCACUGCGAAAUGUUUGGGUUGCUCGAAACCCACCUGGUUUUGCAUUCGUUGAAUUUGAAGAUCCUCGAGAUGCAGAGGAUGCCGUUCGUGGAUUACACGGAACACGUUGUUGUGGAACAAGAAUAAGAGUAGAAAUGUCGUCCGGUAGAACUCGUCGUGGAGGUGGAGGACGUCGGCCUGGUCCCCGAUAUUCAAGAUCUAGAUCUCGUAGUCCACGCAGGAAAUCUAUUGGUCGUUAUCCAAGGUCUUUGUCCAAGAGUCCAAAAAGAUCACCCAUAAAUAGAUACUCCAGAUUCUUCCAGUGUGAGCUCCUAGUUCUGCUCGCCUCCCCGUCACUACUACUACUACUUCUACUACUACUACCACCACUACUAGUACUACUAUUAAUAUUACUACUACAACUUUUACUACUACUACUACAACAGCCACCGUGAACAAAAAAGUUUUGAAAUCACAAACUGAAAAAGAUAUAAAGAGCCUCAUCGAUAGAAGCAAAGUCGUCCUUCAGUUGACAGUUUGUUAGCAAGUCUGUCAGCAAGUCAGUAAUCCUUCAAAGUCAGCUUCCUGCUACCACAACUUCUAAGCAACUAGGAGCAUCAUAUACAUCAAUCACAGACAGCCAACGCGAUAUGAAUUCGUCGAUCCAAAUAUCAUCGCGUCUGUCCCAACUACUUCUACCACUACUACUCCGCCAACCACAGUGUUUUAUUUAGGUGUACAGUGAGACCGUCACGUUUCUUCAAUUGAGCAAUGCAAAAUAAUCACAUACAUACCAUCCUCCACCUAAUCGACCACUACCACAAUUACUAUCACUAACUACCAUCAUAGGUUCAUAUUUAUCUGGUCAAGAUCGCGUAGUCCACGCAGACGAUCUCUGACUCGUAGCCGUAGUCGGGACCGCCGUUCGAGAUCAGACUCCCGUGAAAGACGUUAAAUGCUAAA